GUCGAGAAUCUUUCACAAUGGGGGCAACCCUGAUGGAGCGACGCCGCGUGGAGGAUAAGGUCUUCGGAUUGUAAACUCCUGUCAUGCGUGAACAAGGUUGCUUGGAUAAUACCUGAGCAAAUUGAUGGUAGCGCAAGAGGAAGAGACGGCUAACUCUGUGCCAGCAGCCGCGGUAAUACAGAGGUCUCAAGCGUUGUUCGGAAUCACUGGGCGUAAAGGGUGCGUAGGUGGCGUGGCAAGUCAGAUGUGAAAGCCCGGGGCUCAACCUCGGAACUGCAUCCGAUACUGCCAUGCUAGAGUACUGGAGAGGUGACUAGAAUUCUCGGUGUAGCAGUGAAAUGCGUAGAUAUCGAGAGGAAUACCAAAGGCGUAGGCAGGUCACUGGACAGUUACUGACACUGAGGCACGAAGGCCAGGGGAGCGAACGGGAUUAGAUACCCUUGUAGUCC
This 449-nucleotide ribosomal RNA is filed under the name uncultured bacterium. Its description in RNAcentral is "partial 16S ribosomal RNA". It matches the Rfam family "Bacterial small subunit ribosomal RNA", at positions 354 to 796 of the family's 1533-position model. The record is from RNAcentral.